This 141-nucleotide small nucleolar RNA is filed under the name Jaculus jaculus (lesser Egyptian jerboa). RNAcentral's name for it is "Small nucleolar RNA SNORA61 (ENSJJAG00000005917.1)". Lineage: Eukaryota; Metazoa; Chordata; Mammalia; Rodentia; Dipodidae. The record is from RNAcentral.
GCCUUUCUGUUCCCUUUCCCACGGGAGCCUCGACACUGGUCUUGGUGGUCGUGAAGGAGGAAGGGGACACUGAAGCCCACCUCACAACCGCGUCACGUGCAAUGCUGAGCAGCUGGUGUAGCGGUUGCGAUUAUUACUGCA